GGGGUCGGCGAGAUCGGUGAAGGGGGCGGAUUGCUCGGGGGUUUUGGCGAGGAGGAGGUUCUGGUCGAGGGAGAGGGAUUGGGCGGGGAUGGGGACGUGGAGCUGCGAAUCGAUUAGGGUUUUGAGGGUGGCGACGGUGGCGGUGGAGGGAUCGGGGACGGUGAUGCGCUCAAGGCCAUCGCGGCUGCGGACUCGAACGAUCAUGGUGGAGGAAGGGGGA
Molecule: unclassified non-coding RNA, 220 nt
Filed under: Hevea brasiliensis (rubber tree)
Lineage: Eukaryota; Viridiplantae; Streptophyta; Magnoliopsida; Malpighiales; Euphorbiaceae
Source: RNAcentral